AAUCAAUCAAACUUUGGUUUGGAAAUGGAGGAAGCGUUGGCUACAUCGCUCUUCUAUAAGCUAUUGGCGAUGGUGUUCUAGCUUGUAAGACGUAGUAAGUAAUUUCUCGUCAACGCAGCUGUUCUUGCUAUCUGUCAGCUGAAUAAUUUAUUUCUACA
Molecule: unclassified non-coding RNA, 158 nt
Filed under: uncultured Pezizales
Lineage: Eukaryota; Fungi; Ascomycota; Pezizomycetes; Pezizales
Description: sequence contains ITS2
Source: RNAcentral